UACGAAAGGUGCGAGCGUUAAUCGGAAUUACUGGGCGUAAAGCGCGCGUAGGCGGCUAUUUAAGUCGGAUGUGAAAUCCCCGGGCUCAACCUGGGAAUUGCAUCCGAUACUGGGUAGCUAGAGUGCGGUAGAGGGAGGUGGAAUUCCAGGUGUAGCGGUGAAAUGCGUAGAGAUCUGGAGGAACACCAGUGGCGAAGGCGGCCUCCUGGACUGACACUGACGCUGAGGUGCGAAAGCGUGGGGAUCAAACAGG
This 253-nucleotide ribosomal RNA is filed under the name uncultured bacterium. RNAcentral describes it as "partial 16S ribosomal RNA". It matches the Rfam family "Bacterial small subunit ribosomal RNA", at positions 524 to 776 of the family's 1533-position model. The record is from RNAcentral.